Molecule: ribosomal RNA, 378 nt
Filed under: Triticum aestivum (bread wheat)
Lineage: Eukaryota; Viridiplantae; Streptophyta; Magnoliopsida; Poales; Poaceae
Description: partial small subunit ribosomal RNA
Source: RNAcentral
AUGGGCGUGCUCGCUCGGCUCGCCGCCGGCGGCCGGUUUGGCCGGUCAAUUCCAGAUGGGCUUGACAAGCAGACCUCAGUAGCGCCAUCCCUUUCUGCCGCCGGCGAUCAAGGUGAGCACGCGUCGCCGAUUGUGAUCGAGCAGAAUGCGACGGCGUCAUGGACGGAGAAGGGCCGGACGUACCACCGGUACGCGGUGACGGUGACCAACAGGUCGCUGAACAAGACGGUGCACGAGCUGUACCUCGGCAUCGCCGAGCUCUACGGCCCGGUGACGGGGCUCGACAAGAAGCGGUACGGCCACGUGCUGCCGGGCACGGCCCGUCGGUGCCCGCCGGCGGGAACUUCAAGUUCGAGGAAGUUGGAGCGAUGGGGCUAG